RNAcentral lists this ribosomal RNA (426 nucleotides) under uncultured bacterium. RNAcentral's name for it is "bacterial SSU rRNA". It matches the Rfam family "Bacterial small subunit ribosomal RNA", at positions 29 to 502 of the family's 1533-position model. The record is from RNAcentral.
AACGAACGCUGGCGGCAGGCCUAACACAUGCAAGUCGAGCGCACCUUCGGGUGAGCGGCGGACGGGUUAGUAACGCGUGGGAACAUACCCUUUUCUACGGAAUAGCCUCGGGAAACUGAGAGUAAUACCGUAUAAGCCCUUCGGGGGAAAGAUUUAUCGGGAAAGGAUUGGCCCGCGUUAGAUUAGAUAGUUGGUGGGGUAAUGGCCUACCAAGUCUACGAUCUAUAGCUGGUUUUAGAGGAUGAUCAGCAACACUGGGACGUGAGACACGGCCCAGACUCCUACGGGAGGCAGCAGUGGGGAAUCUUAGACAAUGGGCGCAAGCCUGAUCUAGCCAUGCCGCGUGUGUGAUGAAGGUCUUAGGAUCGUAAAGCACUUUCGCCAGGGAUGAUAAUGACAGUACCUGGUAAAGAAACCCCGCUAACU